Molecule: long non-coding RNA, 301 nt
Filed under: Sphaeramia orbicularis (orbiculate cardinalfish)
Lineage: Eukaryota; Metazoa; Chordata; Actinopteri; Kurtiformes; Apogonidae
Description: lncRNA (ENSSORG00005013780.1)
Source: RNAcentral
AACGAGUUGCAGCAGAACCCAGCACCAAACGUUCUUCAACAUCCCGAUGCAGCAGAAAGUGACCAGCCAGAUGUUAAUAUUGCUGACCUAUGGAAAAAGCUUACUAGCCAAGAUGAAUCCGCAGAACUGGUCAUGGAUGAUGUCGAUGUUAACAGCCCAGACCUAGACACCAGUACAGGGUUUAAGGAGGUUGCAGACCUCAUUGCACUUACUGAGGACCCAGCGAAGUCUGAUGUACAGACGAUCGGUGCUCCUGUCAAUAUUUCAUCAAAAACUAGUAUUCCUGUUGGUGUUUAGGUAA